AUGCAAGUCGAGCGGUAGCACAGAGAGCUUGCUCUCGGGUGACGAGCGGCGGACGGGUGAGUAAUGUCUGGGAAACUGCCUGAUGGAGGGGGAUAACUACUGGAAACGGUAGCUAAUACCGCAUAACGUCGCAAGACCAAAGUGGGGGACCUUCGGGCCUCAUGCCAUCAGAUGUGCCCAGAUGGGAUUAGCUAGUAGGUGGGGUAACGGCUCACCUAGGCGACGAUCCCUAGCUGGUCUGAGAGGAUGACCAGCCACACUGGAACUGAGACACGGUCCAGACUCCUACGGGAGGCAGCAGUGGGGAAUAUUGCACAAUGGGCGCAAGCCUGAUGCAGCCAUGCCGCGUGUGUGAAGAAGGCCUUCGGGUUGUAAAGCACUUUCAGCGGGGAGGAAGGCGAUAAGGUUAAUAACCUUGUCGAUUGACGUUACCCGCAGAAGAAGCACCGGCUAACUCCGUGCCAGCAGCCGCGGUAAUACGGAGGGUGCAAGCGUUAAUCGGAAUUACUGGGCGUAAAGCGCACGCAGGCGGUCUGUCAAGUCGGAUGUGAAAUCCCCGGGCUCAACCUGGGAACUGCAUUCGAAACUGGCAGGCUAGAGUCUUGUAGAGGGGGGUAGAAUUCCAGGUGUAGCGGUGAAAUGCGUAGAGAUCUGGAGGAAUACCGGUGGCGAAGGCGGCCCCCUGGACAAAGACUGACGCUCAGGUGCGAAAGCGUGGGGAGCAAACAGGAUUAGAUACCCUGGUAGUCCACGCCGUAAACGAUGUCGAUUUGGAGGUUGUGCCCUUGAGGCGUGGCUUCCGGAGCUAACGCGUUAAAUCGACCGCCUGGGGAGUACGGCCGCAAGGUUAAAACUCAAAUGAAUUGACGGGGGCCCGCACAAGCGGUGGAGCAUGUGGUUUAAUUCGAUGCAACGCGAAGAACCUUACCUGGUCUUGACAUCCACAGAACUUAGCAGAGAUGCUUUGGUGCCUUCGGGAACUGUGAGACAGGUGCUGCAUGGCUGUCGUCAGCUCGUGUUGUGAAAUGUUGGGUUAAGUCCCGCAACGAGCGCAACCCUUAUCCUUUGUUGCCAGCGGUCAGGCCGGGAACUCAAAGGAGACUGCCAGUGAUAAACUGGAGGAAGGUGGGGAUGACGUCAAGUCAUCAUGGCCCUUACGACCAGGGCUACACACGUGCUACAAUGGCAUAUACAAAGAGAAGCGACCUCGCGAGAGCAAGCGGACCUCAUAAAGUAUGUCGUAGUCCGGAUUGGAGUCUGCAACUCGACUCCAUGAAGUCGGAAUCGCUAGUAAUCGUAGAUCAGAAUGCUACGGUGAAUACGUUCCCGGGCCUUGUACACACCGCCCGUCACACCAUGGGAGUGGGUUGCAAAAGAAGUAGGUAGCUUAACCUUCGGGAGGGCGCUUACCACU
This 1414-nucleotide ribosomal RNA is filed under the name Klebsiella pneumoniae. RNAcentral describes it as "bacterial SSU rRNA". It matches the Rfam family "Bacterial small subunit ribosomal RNA". The record is from RNAcentral. Lineage: Bacteria; Pseudomonadati; Pseudomonadota; Gammaproteobacteria; Enterobacterales; Enterobacteriaceae.